CAGCCGCCGCGGGAAUACGGAGGGAGCUAGCGUUGUUCGGAAUCACUGGGCGUAAAGCGCACGUAGGCGGCUAUUCAAGUCUGGGGUGAAAGCCCGGGGCUCAACCCCGGAACUGCCUUUGAGACUAGAUAGCUUGAAUCUUGGAGAGGCGAGUGGAAUUCCGAGUGUAGAGGUGAAAUUCGUAGAUAUUCGGAAGAACACCAGUGGCGAAGGCGACUCGCUGGACAAGUAUUGACGCUGAGGUGCGAAAGCGUGGGGAGCAAACAGGAUUAGAGACCCCAGUAGUCCCUGUCUCUUAUAC
This 301-nucleotide ribosomal RNA is filed under the name uncultured bacterium. RNAcentral describes it as "partial 16S ribosomal RNA". It matches the Rfam family "Bacterial small subunit ribosomal RNA", at positions 509 to 807 of the family's 1533-position model. The record is from RNAcentral.